Molecule: long non-coding RNA, 773 nt
Filed under: Monodelphis domestica (gray short-tailed opossum)
Lineage: Eukaryota; Metazoa; Chordata; Mammalia; Didelphimorphia; Didelphidae
Description: lncRNA (ENSMODG00000049456.1)
Source: RNAcentral
CUUAGGAAGAUUUGUAUGAUUUAAUGAAAAGUUCCAUGAGCAAAACCAGAACAAUUUGUAGAAUAACCACAACUUAAUCAAAAUUAACAACUUUGAAGGACAUCAGAACUUAAUUAAUACAAUGGUCAACCAUGAUUCCACAGGACCAGUGAUAAAGCACAGAAUCCACUGCUUGGUAGAGAAGUAAUAAUGAGUCAACAAAAAGAAAGAGACAAACAUUUUUAGACCUGGCCAUUGUGGGAUUGUUUUUUUUUUUGCUUGAAUACACAUAUUUAUUACAAAGGUUCUUUUAUUCUUGUUGUACAGACUGAGAAAGAGAGCAAGGAGAUUAAGAAAAAGAAAAUAAAUUAAUUUUUUAAAGAACAGAUGCUCAUUGAGGAACACCUUUGGGAUCAGAAAGCUAUCCUGUGCUCCCUGAUUGACUGAAACCCUAACUCAUACAGAAGAAUUGGAUGUUCAACUCAUAUCAUGCUCAGCUUCUUUGCAGGUUUUAACAAGAUCCUCCACUGCUUCUCGUCCUCUAAAGGCCAGAACUCUGAAGCAGCCUAGGACCCUGCGGAGCCCAAGACUGUCACUAACUAGCUGUGUCUCUUUAGGAAAAUAACGUUAUAUUCUGUAAGUUUAUAUUCCUUCGCUAUCUAAAGCAGUGUUUACAACAGAAAGAAUACCAGAUUUGGAGUCAGAAGACCUAGGCUCAGCCACUGAUUAUCUUUGUGAGCUUGUGCAAUCAAUCAAUUAAAUAAUGGGCAUUUAGUAAGCCUUUGUGAGCUGGA